This 497-nucleotide ribosomal RNA is filed under the name uncultured bacterium. Its description in RNAcentral is "partial 16S ribosomal RNA". It matches the Rfam family "Bacterial small subunit ribosomal RNA", at positions 28 to 507 of the family's 1533-position model. The record is from RNAcentral.
GAUGAACGCUGGCGGCGUGCCUAAUACAUGCAAGUCGAGCGAACAGAUGAGGAGCUUGCUCCUCUGACGUUAGCGGCGGACGGGUGAGUAACACGUGGAUAACCUACCUAUAAGACUGGGAUAACUUCGGGAAACCGGAGCUAAUACCGGAUAAUAUAUUGAACCGCAUGGUUCAAUAGUUAAAGACGGUUUUGCUGUCACUUAUAGAUGGAUCCGCGCCGCAUUAGCUAGUUGGUAAGGUAACGGCUUACCAACGCAACGAUGGUUAGCCGACCUGAGAGGGUGAUCGGCCACACUGGAACUGAGACACGGUCCAGACUCCUACGGGAGGCAGCAGUAGGGAAUCUUCCGCAAUGGGCGAAAGCUUGACGGAGCAACGCCGCGUGAGUGAUGAAGGUCUUCGGAUCGUAAAACUCUGUUAUUAGGGAAGAACAAAUGUGUAAGUAACUAUGCACGUCUUGACGGUACCUAAUCAGAAAGCAACGGCUAACUACGUG